AACAACAUAAUCGCUCGUAUAAAUUCGGUAAUACGGUCCGAAUGUUUCUACCAGGUUCCCUUUAAAGAAUCGGACUACGAGUCGAAGUA
RNAcentral lists this non-coding RNA (89 nucleotides) under uncultured Planococcus sp. RNAcentral's name for it is "Purine riboswitch". The stretch from base 14 to 81 matches the Rfam family "Purine riboswitch aptamer", at positions 20 to 86 of the family's 102-position model. Rfam says of the family: Riboswitches are metabolite binding domains within certain messenger RNAs that serve as precision sensors for their corresponding targets. Allosteric rearrangement of mRNA structure is mediated by ligand binding, and this results in modulation of gene expression. A class of riboswitches that selectively recognises guanine and becomes saturated at concentrations as low as 5 nM. The record is from RNAcentral. Lineage: Bacteria; Bacillati; Bacillota; Bacilli; Caryophanales; Caryophanaceae.